RNAcentral lists this ribosomal RNA (857 nucleotides) under Entamoeba histolytica. RNAcentral's name for it is "SSU rRNA". It matches the Rfam family "Eukaryotic small subunit ribosomal RNA", at positions 951 to 1645 of the family's 1831-position model. The record is from RNAcentral. Lineage: Eukaryota; Evosea; Mastigamoebida; Endamoebidae.
GCAUUUCCCUCAACUGUGUCCAUUAAUCAAGAACGAAGGUUAGGGGAUCGAAGACGAUCAGAUACCGUCGUAGUCCUAACUAUAAACGAUGUCAACCAAGGAUUGGAUGAAAUUCAGAUGUACAAAGAUGAAGAAGCAUUGUUUCUUAAUCUGAGUAUAUCAAUAUUACCUUGUUCAGAACUUAAAGAGAAAUCUUGAGUUUAUGGACUUCAGGGGGAGUAUGGUCACAAGGCUGAAACUUAAAGGAAUUGACGGAAGGGCACACCAGGAGUGGAGCCUGCGGCUUAAUUUGACUCAACACGGGAAAACUUACCAAGACCGAACAGUAGAAGGAAUGACAGAUUAAGAGUUCUUUCAUGAUUUAUUGGGUAGUGGUGCAUGGCCGUUCUUAGUUGGUGGAGUGAUUUGUCAGGUUAAUUCCGGUAACGAACGAGACUGAAACCUAUUAAUUAGUUUUCUGCCUAUAAGACAGAAAUGUUCGCAAGAACAGGUGCGUAAGUACCACUUCUUAAAGGGACACAUUUCAAUUGUCCUAUUUUAAUUGUAGUUAUCUAAUUUCGGUUAGAGCUCUUUUAACGUGGGAAAAAGAAAAAGGAAGCAUUCAGCAAUAACAGGUCUGUGAUGCCCUUAGACAUCUUGGGCCGCACGCGCGCUACAAUGGAGUUACUAGAGAGCAUUUUAUCAUUUACACCUUAUUUAUUAGGCUUUGUCUAAUAAUUAAGGAUAGUGAGUGGUGUACCGAGAUUGAAAUAGUUAAGGAAAACUCAAAAGAACGUACAUGACAGGGAUAAAUGAUUGGAAUUAUUUGUUUUGAACGAGGAAUUCCUUGUAAUAUCGAGUCAUUAACUCGAGAUGAA